GGCGGCGUGCUUAACACAUGCAAGUCGAACGGAAAGGCCCUUCGGGGUACUCGAGUGGCGAACGGGUGAGUAACACGUGGGUGAUCUGCCCUGCACUUUGGGAUAAGCCUGGGAAACUGGGUCUAAUACCGGAUAGGACUACGGCCUGCAUGGGUUGUGGUGGAAAGCUUUUGCGGUGUGGGAUGGGCCCGCGGCCUAUCAACUUGUUGGUGGGGUGAUGGCCUACCAAGGCGACAACAGGUAGCCGGCCUGAGAGGGUGUCCGGCCACACUGGGACUGAGAUACAGCCCACACUCCUCACCGGAGGCAGCAGUGGGGAAUAUUGCACAAUGGGCGCAAGCCUGAUGCAGCGACNCCCCNUGAGGGAUGACNGCCUUCNGGUUGUNAACCUCUCU
RNAcentral lists this ribosomal RNA (395 nucleotides) under uncultured Actinomycetes bacterium. RNAcentral describes it as "bacterial SSU rRNA". It matches the Rfam family "Bacterial small subunit ribosomal RNA", at positions 38 to 436 of the family's 1533-position model. Lineage: Bacteria; Bacillati; Actinomycetota; Actinomycetes. The record is from RNAcentral.